GACGAACGCUGGCGGUGUGCCUUAUGCAUGCAAGUCGCACGGAUCCGCAAGGAUUAGUGGCAAACGGCUGAAUAACACGUAAGCAACCAACCCUACAGUGGGGGAUAAUCCGCCGAAAGGCGGACUAAUACCGCAUUCGGGCGCCUCUCACAAGAGAGGCGCUGAAAGCCGCAAGGCGCUGUUGGACGGGCUUGCGUCCUAUCAGGUAGUUGGCGGGGUAACGGCCCACCAAGCCGAAGACGGGUAACUGGUCUGAGAGGACGGCCAGUCAGACGGGGACUGAGACACGGCCCCGACUCCUACGGGAGGCAGCAGCAGGGAAUUUUGCGCAAUGGGCGAAAGCCUGACGCAGCGACACCGCGUGA
RNAcentral lists this ribosomal RNA (365 nucleotides) under uncultured bacterium. RNAcentral's name for it is "bacterial SSU rRNA". It matches the Rfam family "Bacterial small subunit ribosomal RNA", at positions 28 to 404 of the family's 1533-position model. The record is from RNAcentral.